Molecule: small nucleolar RNA, 115 nt
Filed under: Echinops telfairi (small Madagascar hedgehog)
Lineage: Eukaryota; Metazoa; Chordata; Mammalia; Afrosoricida; Tenrecidae
Description: Small nucleolar RNA SNORA61 (ENSETEG00000026660.1)
Source: RNAcentral
UCCCUCCAGUUUCCUUGCCCACCAUCUAGACACUGGUCUGAUGGGCUAUCAAGGAGGAGUAGAAUGGAAAUGCACUUCAGUGCUUUUGUGGCACGCAAGCUAGUUUCAAACCACA